This is a long non-coding RNA of Stomoxys calcitrans (stable fly), 637 nucleotides long. RefSeq lists it as uncharacterized. The record is from RefSeq and is a predicted model, not a curated record. Lineage: Eukaryota; Metazoa; Arthropoda; Insecta; Diptera; Muscidae. The transcript has 4 exons.
UCAUUUCUAAAGGAAAUUUUGUUAAAAUUUUAUUUCUAAUGGAAGGAAGGACGGUGAAAAUCCUAUGGGAGGCUAUUACUGAAAGGAAGUAAGAAGGAGGUGCGGCAAGUGAUAGCAUAUGUAGGGCAUGCAGGGAUGAUGAUGAGACGUUGGAGCAUUUCCUUUGUCCGGCUUUCGCGUCUAACAGAUACAGGCACUUAGGUGGAAGCACAAUACCAGACUUGAACCAACUUAGGGGCGUGGUAUGGAAAACAAUUACGGAAUUUACUCAAAACGGCUGAACCGAUUUUCAUUACAUGUUAACAGAUGGUAGAGUUAAGUCCCCGGUGAAAGUAGGCGGAUCCUCCCCCUACAAAUUACAAUUUUCAAAAACGCCAGAUCUCGAAAAUGGGUGCACCGAUUUAAGCGAAAUUUUGUUUACAGACUAAGGGUAACCCAAAAACACGAAAUCGUGGUCAAAUAACGGUAGAGGGCGCCCUACCUACCUGCCUACCCCAAAGCCCACAAAAACUGACAUGUUCACCGGUUGGGACAGGAGGGGAAUCAACUAAAAGGUGGGUCCUCUCCACUCCCAAAGACCUCCCAGAAAUUACGUGUUUACCGAUUGGGGCAACAUGGGUAUCAAAUUAAAGGUAAG